CCUGGUGGCUCAGAUGGUAGAGAAUCUGCCUGCAAUGCAGGAAACCUGGGUUCAAUCCCUGGGUCAGGA
This 69-nucleotide transfer RNA is filed under the name Ovis aries (sheep). It matches the Rfam family "tRNA". From Rfam's summary of the family: Transfer RNA (tRNA) molecules are approximately 80 nucleotides in length. Their secondary structure includes four short double-helical elements and three loops (D, anti-codon, and T loops). Lineage: Eukaryota; Metazoa; Chordata; Mammalia; Artiodactyla; Bovidae. The record is from Rfam by way of RNAcentral.